RNAcentral lists this long non-coding RNA (286 nucleotides) under Homo sapiens (human). RNAcentral's name for it is "HSALNT0049851". Lineage: Eukaryota; Metazoa; Chordata; Mammalia; Primates; Hominidae. The record is from RNAcentral.
CCCCUGGCGUGGGCACAGGCAAGAAAAACCUGGCAGCCCUCUACCCUCUUUUCAGUGCAUUUGGGGCCUGGCUGGAAGGCCCCUCCGGUGCUCAAAGGGCUGCUGCGAGAACAGAGGGAGAGCUCUCCAAACCCCAGCACGGUUCUCAGUCAUCAUGAGACCGGAACACAGAGGCCCACACACGACCGCUGGACAUGUUUAAGAAAAUGCCAAUGUAUUUCCACUAGAAAAAUCCUCUUUUCCUAAAUACAUGUCUCUAUGUUGAAUAAGUUAAAAUAGCAUCUCC